AUGGUGGGUCCCUUCAGUAGUACCGUAACGGUGGGUCCCUUCAGUAGAACCGUAACGGUGGGUCCCUUCAGUAGAACCGUAACGGUCCGUCCCUUCAGUAGUACCGUAACGGUCCGUCCCUUCAGUAGAACCGUAACGGUCCGUCCCUUCAGUAGAACCGUAACGGUGGGUCCCUUCAGUAGAACCGUAACGGUGGGUCCCUUCAGUAGUACCGUAACGGUGGGUCCCUUCAGUAGUACCGUAACGGUCCGUCCCUUCAGUAGAACCGUAACGGCGGGUCCCUUCAGUAGAACCGUAACGGCGGGUCCCUUCAGUAGAACCGUAACGGCGGGUCCCUUCAGUAGAACCGUAACGGCGGGUCCCUUCAGUAGAACCGUAACGGCGGGUCCCUUCAGUAGAACAUUAACGGCGGGUCCCUUCAGUAGAACCGUAACGGCGGGUCCCUUCAGUAGUACCGUAACGGCGGGUCCCUUCAGUAGUACCGUAACGGCGGGUCCCUUCAGUAGAACCGUAACGGCGGGUCCCUUCAGUAGAACCGUAACGGUCCGUCCCUUCAGUAGUACCGUAACGGUCCGUCCCUUCAGUAGAACCGUAACGGUGGGUCCCUUCAGUAGAACCGUAACGGUCCGUCCCUUCAGUAGUACCGUAACGGUGGGUCCCUUCAGUAGUACCGUAACGGUGGGUCCCUUCAGUAGAACCGUAACGGUGGGUCCCUUCAGUAGAACCGUAACGGUGGGUCCCUUCAGUAGAACCGUAACGGCGGGUCCCUUCAGUAGAACCGUAACGGUCCGUCCCUUCAGUAGUACCGUAACGGUCCGUCCCUUCAGUAGAACCGUAACGGUGGGUCCCUUCAGUAGAACCGUAACGGUCCGUCCCUUCAGUAGUACCGUAACGGUCCGUCCCUUCAGUAGUACCGUAACGGUGGGUCCCUUCAGUAGUACCGUAACGGUGGGUCCCUUCAGUAGAACCGUAACGGUGGGUCCCUUCAGUAGAACCGUAACGGUGGGUCCCUUCAGUAGAACCGUAACGGUGGGUCCCUUCAGUAGAACCGUAACGGUGGGUCCCUUCAAUAGGCUGUAG
Molecule: long non-coding RNA, 1080 nt
Filed under: Salmo trutta (river trout)
Lineage: Eukaryota; Metazoa; Chordata; Actinopteri; Salmoniformes; Salmonidae
Description: lncRNA (ENSSTUG00000015233.1)
Source: RNAcentral